AACGAACGCUGGCGGCGUGGAUUAGGCAUGCAAGUCGAACGGUUCCUUUAGCUUUUCGAAGGGAUAGUGGCGAAAGGGUGAGUAACACGUGGGUUACCUACCCUAGGGAUCGGGAUAACCUGUCGAAAGACGGGCUAAUACCGGAUACGUCCCAUGCUUUGCGAAGUAUGGGGGAAAGAUGGGGGACCCUUCGGGGCCUGUCGCCCUUGGAUGGGCUCGCGGCCUAUCAGCUAGUUGGUGAGGUAACGGCUCACCAAGGCUAAGACGGGUAGCUGGUCUGAGAGGAUGGUCAGCCACACUGGGACUGAGACACUGCCCAGACUCCUACGGGAGGCAG
Molecule: ribosomal RNA, 337 nt
Filed under: uncultured bacterium
Lineage: Bacteria
Description: bacterial SSU rRNA
Rfam family: Bacterial small subunit ribosomal RNA
Source: RNAcentral